GCUUCCUUAGCUCAACGGUCAGAGCGCCCGCCUGUCGAGCGGAUGGCUGCCGGUUCGAAUCCGGUAGGGAGCG
This 73-nucleotide transfer RNA is filed under the name Streptomyces afghaniensis. RNAcentral's name for it is "tRNA-Asp". It matches the Rfam family "tRNA". From Rfam's summary of the family: Transfer RNA (tRNA) molecules are approximately 80 nucleotides in length. The record is from RNAcentral. Lineage: Bacteria; Bacillati; Actinomycetota; Actinomycetes; Kitasatosporales; Streptomycetaceae.